This 423-nucleotide ribosomal RNA is filed under the name uncultured prokaryote. Its description in RNAcentral is "bacterial SSU rRNA". It matches the Rfam family "Bacterial small subunit ribosomal RNA", at positions 355 to 796 of the family's 1533-position model. The record is from RNAcentral.
UAACGAAUCUUCCGCAAUGCACGCAAGUGUGACGGAGCAAUACCGAGUGCAGGACGAAGCCCCUCGGGGUGUAAACUGCUAAAAGAAGCUAACAAGUUCUGAGUAACUUCUGAUAAGGGGCGACUAACUCUGUGCCAGCAGUCGCGGUAAUACAGAGGCCCCAAGCGUUAGGCGGAAUCACUGGGCUUAAAGCGUGUGCAGGCGGUCCCGCAAGUACCUUGUGAAAGCCCACGGCUCAACCGUGGAACUGCUCGGUAUACUGCGGGACUUGGAUCAUCCAGGGGCGAGCGGAACUCACGGUGGAGCGGUGAAAUGCAUAGAUAUCGUGAGGAACGCCAGAGGCGAAAGCGGCUCGCUGGGGAUGUAUCGACGCUCAGACACGAAAGCUAGGGUAGCGAACGGGAUUAGAUACCCCCGUAGUCC